GACGUAGACAUGGGGGUGGAGGCGGCGGAGAUGGGCGCUGAACCGGCGGCGCACGGGCAGCUGCUGUGGGCAACCGGUGGCGGGCGGAGGUACAUCAGCUACGACGCACUGCGGGGGGACGCCGUGCUGUGCUCCCGGCCAGGGGUGCCCUACUACAACCGCCGCAUCAGCACCACCGCCAACCCCUACACCCGCGGCUGCGAGUCCAUCACCCGCUGCCGCGACGACGACCCUUCCUAGGUUGUAAACAGAAUCCAGAAAUUACGGAAGACUGCUCAGCUUGAACCUACAGACUUAAUUGAUGUUUACUACGAGUCUGUAGACAACAGCAACAAUACACUUGAAGAAAUUUUGCAGUCACAGGAUCAGUAUAUUAGGGACGUGCUUGGUAAUUCACUAGUUCCAAAGGCAGCGGCAACAUCAGAUAUGGUAGAAGAUAGCGACAGAGUUUGAAGGUAUGUGCAAAGAUCUUCUCCUCCGUCGCCGUCCGCGACAAAGCUGUUGGGUGCAUCCGUCCAUCAUAUUUAGAUCUGAGUGAAGAGGGCAUCCGUCCAUCUCAAAAGGAUAUGGAUGACCAUCUGAAGGUAUGCAAGUUUCUUCCCAAACUUAACGACGAGAUACUAGGUGAAAGAUAUGCUCUCUACAAGGAAAGGUUGAGCAGCCUAGAGAAUUUAGUACUGAUCAUGAGGUGAUCGACGCAGUCUACCGCGACCCGGUGGGCGUCGUGCUCUUCAACAACUCGGAGGCGGACUUUGUUGUGAAGCCCGGCGACCGCCUCACACAGAUGAUUGUCCAGGUGAUUGCGAUGCCGGAGGUCGCCGAGGUGGAGGACCUUGACGUCACCGUCUGGAGGACUCGACGCCACCGUCUCGAGGUUGCCGAGGUGGAGGACCUCGAUGCCACCGUCUCGAGGUUGCCAAGGUGAAGGACCUCGACGCCUUGGUAGAUACAUCUAGAGAAGUGGUCAUGUUAGUU
Molecule: long non-coding RNA, 975 nt
Organism: Triticum aestivum (bread wheat)
Lineage: Eukaryota; Viridiplantae; Streptophyta; Magnoliopsida; Poales; Poaceae
Exons: 6
Source: RefSeq, a predicted model, not a curated record